RNAcentral lists this ribosomal RNA (499 nucleotides) under Pseudogymnoascus pannorum. Its description in RNAcentral is "eukaryotic LSU rRNA". The stretch from base 138 to 291 matches the Rfam family "5.8S ribosomal RNA". Lineage: Eukaryota; Fungi; Ascomycota; Leotiomycetes; Thelebolales; Thelebolaceae. The record is from RNAcentral.
UAACCUACCACCCUUUGUUUAUUACACUUUGUUGCUUUGNNNGCCUGCCCUCGGGCUGCUGGCUCCGGCCGGCGAGCGCCUGCCAGAGGACCUAAACUCUGUUUGUCUAUACUGUCUGAGUACUAUAUAAUAGUUAAAACUUUCAACAACGGAUCUCUUGGUUCUGGCAUCGAUGAAGAACGCAGCGAAAUGCGAUAAGUAAUGUGAAUUGCAGAAUUCAGUGAAUCAUCGAAUCUUUGAACGCACAUUGCGCCCCCUGGUAUUCCGGGGGGCAUGCCUGUCCGAGCGUCAUUACAACCCUCAAGCUCAGCUUGGUGUUGGGCCCCGCCGCCCCGGCGGGCCCUAAAGUCAGUGGCGGUGCCGUCCGGCUCCGAGCGUAGUAAUUCUUCUCGCUCUGGAGGCCCGGUCGCGUGCCCGCCAGCAACCCCCAAUUUUUUUCAGGUUGACCUCGGAUCAGGUAGGGAUACCCGCUGAACUUAAGCAUAUCAAUAAGCGGAGG